UACGUAGGGUCCGAGCGUUGUCCGGAAUUACUGGGCGUAAAGAGCUCGUAGGUGGUUUGUCGCGUUGUUCGUGAAAACUCACAGCUUAACUGUGGGCGUGCGGGCGAUACGGGCAGACUUGAGUACUGCAGGGGAGACUGGAAUUCCUGGUGUAGCGGUGGAAUGCGCAGAUAUCAGGAGGAACACCGGUGGCGAAGGCGGCAUCCUGGACCAAUUCUGACGCUGAGGAGCGAAAGCCAGGGGAGCAAACGGG
This 253-nucleotide ribosomal RNA is filed under the name uncultured bacterium. RNAcentral describes it as "partial 16S ribosomal RNA". It matches the Rfam family "Bacterial small subunit ribosomal RNA", at positions 524 to 776 of the family's 1533-position model. The record is from RNAcentral.